This 436-nucleotide ribosomal RNA is filed under the name Doryteuthis opalescens. RNAcentral describes it as "partial 12S rRNA". The record is from RNAcentral. Lineage: Eukaryota; Metazoa; Mollusca; Cephalopoda; Myopsida; Loliginidae.
AUACCAAUACUUUAAAUUUAUAUUUAGAUAGUAUAAAAUAAAGUAAUAAUUAAUAAAAGAAAAAUUAGAAUAGAUGAGUAUAGUAAUUGUAGGUAAAAUUUAAUUUCUAUAAUUGAUUAUAUUGUUCUAAGUAUUAGAUUCUUUGAAAGUGAGGUUUAAAGAGACUAGGAUUAGAGACCCUAUUAUUCUUUACUUUAAAAAUUUUAUUAUUUAAGUAGUAAGAGCUAGAAUAUAUUAUUAAAUGUUUUUAAUUUUAGAUGUGCUUGAAACUUAAAAGGCUUGGCGGUAUUAUAUAUCCUUCCAGGGGAGCUUGCUUAUUGAUUUGAUAUUCCUCAAUUUAUACUUACUUUUUCUUGAAUAAUUUCAGUUUGUGUAUUGCUGUCGUCAGUUUAUUUUGUAAAAAUUUUGGAAAAAACUUUAUAAUGAAUUGAUUAUA